Chiroxiphia lanceolata (lance-tailed manakin) is the source of this 392-nucleotide long non-coding RNA. RefSeq lists it as uncharacterized. The transcript has 2 exons. Lineage: Eukaryota; Metazoa; Chordata; Aves; Passeriformes; Pipridae. The record is from RefSeq and is a predicted model, not a curated record.
CCAGUAUCAUGGGGGGCUACAUGGUUUUCAUCCAUCCUGUCUCUCUGCUGAGCAAGUGUUUGGCCAUGGUGCUUGUUCCAGGAAGUUCUGGGAAGCCUUCAGUGAUGUAUCGUUGAACUGCUCUAAUCCAGUGCUGGCCAAGGAGGGAUUUAGUGGUCCUGGCUCCACACAUCUCAUUCACAUUGUCCUUCCCAAGGACAGCUGAACAUCUGCUGCCCAUAGGUAACUCCAGGCCGCCGCACGGCCCCGCUCCCAGCUUGGGUGUGAAACCUCUGCCUGCCUCCAUCCCCGCUGACCUGUGCCUGGAGCUUUCAAGUGGCUGUUUUCAUCCUUCUCGGGGCCGUCUGUGAGCAUUCCAAGGGUUGAUUAAAAGGUACCAUCACUGCAAAACA